RNAcentral lists this ribosomal RNA (475 nucleotides) under uncultured soil bacterium. RNAcentral describes it as "bacterial SSU rRNA". It matches the Rfam family "Bacterial small subunit ribosomal RNA", at positions 26 to 518 of the family's 1533-position model. The record is from RNAcentral.
AGGACGAACGCUGGCGGCGUGCUUAACACAUGCAAGUCGAGCGGUAAGGCCUUUCGGGGUACACGAGCGGCGAACGGGUGAGUAACACGUGGGUGAUCUGCCCUGCACUUCGGGAUAAGCCUGGGAAACUGGGUCUAAUACCGGAUAUGACCUCCUAUCGCAUGGUGGGUGGUGGAAAGAUUUAUCGGUGCAGGAUGGGCCCGCGGCCUAUCAGCUUGUUGGUGGGGUAAUGGCCUACCAAGGCGACGACGGGUAGCCGACCUGAGAGGGUGACCGGCCACACUGGGACUGAGACACGGCCCAGACUCCUACGGGAGGCAGCAGUGGGGAAUAUUGCACAAUGGGCGAAAGCCUGAUGCAGCGACGCCGCGUGAGGAUGACGGCCUUCGGGUUGUAAACCUCUUUCAGCAGGACGAAGCGCAAGUGACGGUACCUGCAAGAAGAAGCACCGGCUAACUACGUGCCAGCAGCCGAC